UACGGGGGGGGCAAGCGUUGUCCGGAAUUAUUGGGCGUAAAGCGCGUUCAGGCGGUUCGGCAAGUCGGGCAUGAAAUCUCUCGGCUCAACCGGGAGAGGUUGUCCGAUACUGUUGGACUUGAGGGCAGUAGAGGGUGGUGGAAUUCCGGGUGUAGUGGUGAAAUGCGCAGAUAUCAGGAGGAACACCGGUGGCGAAGGCGGAUCUCUGGGCCUUACCUGACGCUGAGGCGCGAAAGCUAGGGGAGCGAACAGG
This 253-nucleotide ribosomal RNA is filed under the name uncultured bacterium. RNAcentral's name for it is "partial 16S ribosomal RNA". It matches the Rfam family "Bacterial small subunit ribosomal RNA", at positions 524 to 776 of the family's 1533-position model. The record is from RNAcentral.